AAAGUAUUUAUAAAGCCAAACAAGUACAAAGUUGAAGAGCAUUAAGGAUCCAAAAUUCCAAAAAGUUGUGCCAAACACGGCUAAGGUAAUCUAUGCCUGGGAUAAGAAAAUCCUUAGUUUUACGAAAAAAAUUAAGGUUUUGUAAACAGGAAAUUUAUAAAAAUGACCACAUUAUUGAUAUUCAUGUCAACACCGAAGUGUUAA
Molecule: long non-coding RNA, 204 nt
Filed under: Mytilus galloprovincialis (Mediterranean mussel)
Lineage: Eukaryota; Metazoa; Mollusca; Bivalvia; Mytilida; Mytilidae
Source: RNAcentral